Molecule: ribosomal RNA, 255 nt
Filed under: uncultured bacterium
Lineage: Bacteria
Description: partial 16S ribosomal RNA
Source: RNAcentral
CUGCUGCCUCCCGUAGGAGUCUGGGCCGUGUCUCAGUCCCAAUGUGGCCGUCCACCCUCUCAGGCCGGCUACUGAUCGUCGCCUUGGUGGGCCGUUACCCCGCCAACCAGCUAAUCAGACGCGGGUCCAUCCCGCACCACCGGAGUUUUUCACACUGCUUCAUGCGAAGCUGUGCGCUUAUGCGGUAUUAGCAGCCGUUUCCAGCUGUUGUCCCCCAGUGCGGGGCAGGUUGCCCACGCGUUACUCACCCGUCCG